This 515-nucleotide ribosomal RNA is filed under the name uncultured bacterium. RNAcentral's name for it is "bacterial SSU rRNA". It matches the Rfam family "Bacterial small subunit ribosomal RNA", at positions 8 to 521 of the family's 1533-position model. The record is from RNAcentral.
AGAGUUUGAUCCUGGCUCAGGAUGAACGCUGGCGGCGUGCUUAACACAUGCAAGUCGAACGAAGCACUUUUAUUUGAUUUCUUCGGAAUGAAGAUUUUAGUGACUGAGUGGCGGACGGGUGAGUAACGCGUGGGUAACCUGCCUCAUACAGGGGGAUAACAGUUAGAAAUGACUGCUAAUACCGCAUAAGACCACAGCACCGCAUGGUGCAGGGGUAAAAACUCCGGUGGUAUGAGAUGGACCCGCGUCUGAUUAGGUAGUUGGUGGGGUAACGGCCUACCAAGCCGACGAUCAGUAGCCGACCUGAGAGGGUGACCGGCCACAUUGGGACUGAGACACGGCCCAAACUCCUACGGGAGGCAGCAGUGGGGAAUAUUGCACAAUGGGGGAAACCCUGAUGCAGCGACGCCGCGUGAGCGAUGAAGUAUUUCGGUAUGUAAAGCUCUAUCAGCAGGGAAGAAAAUGACGGUACCUGACUAAGAAGCACCGGCUAAAUACGUGCCAGCAGCCGCGGU